This 202-nucleotide ribosomal RNA is filed under the name uncultured bacterium. RNAcentral's name for it is "partial 16S ribosomal RNA". It matches the Rfam family "Bacterial small subunit ribosomal RNA", at positions 524 to 724 of the family's 1533-position model. The record is from RNAcentral.
UACGUAGGGGGCUAGCGUUGUCCGGAUUUAUUGGGCGUAAAGAGCGUGUAGGCGGCCAAGUAGGUCCGGUGUGAAAACUCGAGGCUUACCUCGAGAUGUCAUCGGAAACCAUUUGGCUAGAGUCCGGGAAGAGGAAAGUGGAAUUCCUGGUGUAGCGGUGAAAUGCGCAGAUAUCAAGGAAGAACACCAAUGGCGAAAGCAG